GUUAAGCGACUAAGCGUACACGGUGGAUGCCCUGGCAGUCAGAGGCGAUGAAGGACGUGCUAAUCUGCGAAAAGCGCCGGCGAGGUGAUAUGAACCUUUGACCCGGCGAUGUCCGAAUGGGGAAACCCAGUGCAAUUCGUUGCACUAUCGUUAACUGAAUACAUAGGUUAACGAGGCGAACCGGGGGAACUGAAACAUCUAAGUACCCCGAGGAAAAGAAAUCAACCGAGAUUCCCCCAGUAGCGGCGAGCGAACGGGGAGGAGCCCAGAGUCUGAAUCAGUUUGUGUGUUAGUGGAACGGUCUGGAAAGUCCGGCGAUACAGGGUGACAGCCCCGUACACGAAAGCACACAGGCUGUGAACUCGAAGAGUAGGGCGGGACACGUGGUAUCCUGUCUGAAUAUGGGGGGACCAUCCUCCAAGGCUAAAUACUCCUGACUGACCGAUAGUGAACCAGUACCGUGAGGGAAAGGCGAAAAGAACCCCGGCGAGGGGAGUGAAAAAGAACCUGAAACCGUGUACGUACAAGCAGUGGGAGCAUCCUUCGGGGUGUGACUGCGUACCUUUUGUAUAAUGGGUCAGCGACUUAUAUUCUGUAGCAAGGUUAACCGAAUAGGGGAGCCGAAGGGAAACCGAGUCUUAACUGGGCGUUAAGUUGCAGGGUAUAGACCCGAAACCCGGUGAUCUAGCCAUGGGCAGGUUGAAGGUUGGGUAACACUAACUGGAGGACCGAACCGACUAAUGUUGAAAAAUUAGCGGAUGACCUGUGGCUGGGGGUGAAAGGCCAAUCAAACCGGGAGAUAGCUGGUUCUCCCCGAAAGCUAUUUAGGUAGCGCCUCGUGAACUCAUCUUCGGGGGUAGAGCACUGUUUCGGCUAGGGGGUCAUCCCGACUUACCAACCCGAUGCAAACUGCGAAUACCGAAGAAUGUUAUCACGGGAGACACACGGCGGGUGCUAACGUCCGUCGUGAAGAGGGAAACAACCCAGACCGCCAGCUAAGGUCCCAAAGUCAUGGUUAAGUGGGAAACGAUGUGGGAAGGCCCAGACAGCCAGGAUGUUGGCUUAGAAGCAGCCAUCAUUUAAAGAAAGCGUAAUAGCUCACUGGUCGAGUCGGCCUGCGCGGAAGAUGUAACGGGGCUAAACCAUGCACCGAAGCUGCGGCAGCGACACUGUGUGUUGUUGGGUAGGGGAGCGUUCUGUAAGCCGUUGAAGGUGUGCUGUGAGGCAUGCUGGAGGUAUCAGAAGUGCGAAUGCUGACAUAAGUAACGAUAAAGCGGGUGAAAAGCCCGCUCGCCGGAAGACCAAGGGUUCCUGUCCAACGUUAAUCGGGGCAGGGUGAGUCGACCCCUAAGGCGAGGCCGAAAGGCGUAGUCGAUGGGAAACAGGUUAAUAUUCCUGUACUUGGUGUUACUGCGAAGGGGGGACGGAGAAGGCUAUGUUAGCCGGGCGACGGUUGUCCCGGUUUAAGCAUGUAGGCGGAGGUUCCAGGUAAAUCCGGUACCUUUUAACGCUGAGGUGUGAUGACGAGGCACUACGGUGCUGAAGUAACAAAUGCCCUGCUUCCAGGAAAAGCCUCUAAGCAUCAGGUAACACGAAAUCGUACCCCAAACCGACACAGGUGGUCAGGUAGAGAAUACCAAGGCGCUUGAGAGAACUCGGGUGAAGGAACUAGGCAAAAUGGUGCCGUAACUUCGGGAGAAGGCACGCUGACAUGUAGGUGAAGCCCCUGCGGGUGGAGCUGAAGUCAGUCGAAGAUACCAGCUGGCUGCAACUGUUUAUUAAAAACACAGCACUGUGCAAACACGAAAGUGGACGUAUACGGUGUGACGCCUGCCCGGUGCCGGAAGGUUAAUUGAUGGGGUUAUCCUUAGGGAGAAGCUCUUGAUCGAAGCCCCGGUAAACGGCGGCCGUAACUAUAACGGUCCUAAGGUAGCGAAAUUCCUUGUCGGGUAAGUUCCGACCUGCACGAAUGGCGUAAUGAUGGCCAGGCUGUCUCCACCCGAGACUCAGUGAAAUUGAACUCGCUGUGAAGAUGCAGUGUACCCGCGGCAAGACGGAAAGACCCCGUGAACCUUUACUAUAGCUUGACACUGAACAUUGAGCCUUGAUGUGUAGGAUAGGUGGGAGGCUUUGAAGCGUGGACGCCAGUCUGCGUGGAGCCAACCUUGAAAUACCACCCUUUAAUGUUUGAUGUUCUAACCUGGCGCCGUAAUCCGGCGUGGGGACAGUGUCUGGUGGGUAGUUUGACUGGGGCGGUCUCCUCCUAAAGAGUAACGGAGGAGCACGAAGGUUGGCUAAUCCUGGUCGGACAUCAGGAGGUUAGUGCAAUGGCAUAAGCCAGCUUGACUGCGAGCGUGACGGCGCGAGCAGGUGCGAAAGCAGGUCAUAGUGAUCCGGUGGUUCUGAAUGGAAGGGCCAUCGCUCAACGGAUAAAAGGUACUCCGGGGAUAACAGGCUGAUACCGCCCAAGAGUUCAUAUCGACGGCGGUGUUUGGCACCUCGAUGUCGGCUCAUCACAUCCUGGGGCUGAAGUAGGUCCCAAGGGUAUGGCUGUUCGCCAUUUAAAGUGGUACGCGAGCUGGGUUUAGAACGUCGUGAGACAGUUCGGUCCCUAUCUGCCGUGGGCGCUGGAGAAUUGAGGGGGGCUGCUCCUAGUACGAGAGGACCGGAGUGGACGCAUCACUGGUGUUCGGGUUGUCAUGCCAAUGGCAUUGCCCGGUAGCUACAUGCGGAAGAGAUAAGUGCUGAAAGCAUCUAAGCACGAAACUUGCCCCGAGAUGAGUUCUCCCUGAGACCCAGAGUCUCCUGAAGGAACGUUAAAGACUAUGACGUUGAUAGGCCGGGUGUGUAAGCGCAGCGAUGCGUUGAGCUAACCGGUACUAAUGAACCGUGAGGCUUAACC
RNAcentral lists this ribosomal RNA (2902 nucleotides) under Pluralibacter gergoviae. Its description in RNAcentral is "Bacterial large subunit ribosomal RNA". It matches the Rfam family "Bacterial large subunit ribosomal RNA". Lineage: Bacteria; Pseudomonadati; Pseudomonadota; Gammaproteobacteria; Enterobacterales; Enterobacteriaceae. The record is from RNAcentral.